This 497-nucleotide ribosomal RNA is filed under the name uncultured bacterium. RNAcentral's name for it is "partial 16S ribosomal RNA". It matches the Rfam family "Bacterial small subunit ribosomal RNA", at positions 28 to 507 of the family's 1533-position model. The record is from RNAcentral.
GAUGAACGCUGGCGGCGUGCCUAAUACAUGCAAGUCGAGCGAACAGAUGAGGAGCUUGCUCCUCUGACGUUAGCGGCGGACGGGUGAGUAACACGUGGGUAACCUACCUAUAAGACUGGGAUAACUUCGGGAAACCGGGGCUAAUACCGGAUAAUAUAUUGAACCGCAUGGUUCAAUAGUGAAAGACGGUUUUGCUGUCACUUAUAGAUGGAUCCGCGCCGCAUUAGCUAGUUGGUAAGGUAACGGCUUACCAAGGCAACGAUGCGUAGCCGACCUGAGAGGGUGAUCGGCCACACUGGAACUGAGACACGGUCCAGACUCCUACGGGAGGCAGCAGUAGGGAAUCUUCCGCAAUGGGCGAAAGCCUGACGGAGCAACGCCGCGUGAGUGAUGAAGGUCUUCGGAUCGUAAAACUCUGUUAUUAGGGAAGAACAAAUGUGUAAGUAACUAUGCACGUCUUGACGGUACCUAAUCAGAAAGCCACGGCUAACUACGUG